Molecule: ribosomal RNA, 451 nt
Filed under: uncultured bacterium
Lineage: Bacteria
Description: bacterial SSU rRNA
Rfam family: Bacterial small subunit ribosomal RNA
Source: RNAcentral
GACGAACGCUGGCGGCGUGCUUAACACAUGCAAGUCGAACGAGACGAUUUAGAAGCUUGCUUCUUAUUGAUUCGAGUGGCAAACGGGUGAGUAACGCGUAAGCAACCUGCCCUUCAGAUGGGGACAACAGCUGGAAACGGCUGCUAAUACCGAAUACGUUCUCUUUAUCGCAUGGCAGAGGGAAGAAAGGGAGGCUCUUCGGAGCUUUCACUGAAGGAGGGGCUUGCGUCUGAUUAGCUAGUUGGAGGGGUAACGGGCCCCGACCCAAGGCGACGAUCAGUAGCCGGUCUGAGAGGAUGAACGGCCACAUUGGGACUGAGACACGGUCCAGACUCCUACGGGAGGCAGCAGUGGGGAAUCUUCCGCAAUGGCGAAAGCCUGACGGAGCAACGCCGCGUGACGUGAAGAAGGUCUUCGGAUCGUAAAGCUCUGUUGAGAGGGACGAGAGAUA